CGUUCUACUGGCUGAAGACACUGUCGUAUAUUUUUAUUUAUUUCAGACCACAACAGACCUAGUAACCGGAUUUUCCUCAUGAGACUCAUUGGAGCGUUUCUGUCUUGAUAUCAAUUAACUGCAGUAAAUAGCUGUAAAAUCAAGACGGCAUAGAGGAACGGUAUAAGCGUCCAGGUGCUUAACACAGGAACUCAUUAAGUCUGGACGGAAAUCGCCGUUAUUUCUCUCAUCAAACUUCGAAAAACAUAGGAGCAAGAUUAACAACUGUAACCCAAUACAAAUAUUUGAACAGGAGACGGCAUGCAAGUUUGAGUGUUUCCAACCUCAUAAAAAUGCAUAAUGCUUACCUAUCGGAAGUAAAACUUCAAACGUACGUUAACCAGAUAUUUUUUCUUUAUUAGAUUGGCCAGUGAUUGGCCAAUAUUUAAGCCGCCAUUUUAAAAAAUGGCCGAUGUACACACCUGAAGCUAGCCCCACAGCCCACACCACAGCGCAGGUAAAGCACGUCAUUCCUAAUCGUCCAUGUCUGAGUUUCUUUGUAUGAUUGAAAGCCAGAGGGCGCUUUGAACUACUGAGGCAGAGCCGCAGAGGACAAAGUGAUCACUUAGGCACUUACUUACUCACCAUGUGUCUAACUGAAAGGAAAAGGUGGCCGACGCAUUUAAUAAUGACGGAUCAAAGUGUUACUAUGAGCAAAUAGUAAAAGCAGUUUAAAUUGGUCUCAGAAGCCGAAAACCUAACUUCCGAAGUGGGCCCCGUCAUGCAGGGAAAGCAGAACUACCAGCCAUGAGCCAUGUUACAUGUAACUAGGUCAAACCUUAGAUGUUGAAAUGAGAGGAGGAUAUAUUGCUUGCCAUGUGCAGCUUGCUGUAUCAUUCACUGAUGAAGCCACCUAAAACACUCCCUAAGAAUACAAUAGAAGAAAGGCGUAUUGUCAACAGAUAGUAGACACAGCAGUAACAUAUUUGAGGAUCUAACACUGCUUCCAAAAUUUGAUUGCUUUGUUAUUCCCUCAUCUUUAAGUAGUUGAUAGAAUUUGUUUUGGAACAAAAUAUAUUUUACUUUAUGUUUUUCUAGAUGUGAACCUGAACCUGCCAUUGAUGUUAUAGCCAUGAAGAUGACUGAUGAUCUCCAGGGAUCUUAAUGCACCAUAACUGGAAUUGAUAGACAAACUGAUAGAACAGAAAAAAACCAUGUUCAACAUAAAUUGAUUAGAGACCCUUCGUAUCCGAACUGGGAAAGCUCUGGCGAGUAGAGACCCGUAAAUAUGUUAAUAGAUGUCGGGAUAUCUAACACCCCUUCCAAGUUGACGUCAGCUAGAACAGAAAAACUCACAUUCCACAUGCAUUAGAGUUUAAGUUUGUUUGCGGUCCUUCGAAUACGAACUCGGAAAGCCCUCGGGAGCGGACACACAUAAAUAUCUAUGGGAAGACGUCGGAAUGGACUAAUAGUAGCCUCGUGUUAUUUGGACAACGGUCGUUGACUUUAUGUUUUGACAAAAUGUCACGGUCGGUGAUCCUGCUGCUUAUUGGUUAAUAUCCAGGUAAGAAGGAGUUUCUGGGGAUGUCAGCUAGGAAAUCAAUUGUUACCUACUGAACUGUGGCGUAAAGCAUUUGGCAAUGACUUUUUUGGUAUGGUGAAACAACCGCGGUAAUAAAGUGAAGAAGAUGUUUACAACAUUGUUACAUUUGUUUGAGAAACUUCACUGCUUCGCCAUUUAGUUUGAUCGAAGUGUGGCGUACAGUCAUCUACACAUUCCCCGCUGAAAAGCGAAGAACAGUUCACGCUCUUAGACAACAGGAAAGGAUUAUAUCGCAGGAUUUCCCUUCAGAGCAGUCACUCUCCAUAAGUGAGAUCUGUCAUGUGUUGGCUGAUAAUCUCCCUCAGCUGACUAAAAGUGGGCCUUUCUUUCGGAUCCGAUUUCCAACAAUUGGUCAUAAUUUCUCCAAACAAAUUGGGAAAAAUUUAAAGUCAUUUGUUUCAUUCUCACCUGGAUACGGAACUUUGCCUAAGGUGAAGAGUUCCCAGAGAAGAACUCCGUACGACCAAACGUCAGAUUCGGAGGAAAAAAUGCGAUCGGUUAACGAUUCGAUUGCCAUCCAUUUGACCGGCAUUAAUCCCUGCACAUUAAAACAGAUUUUUACAUCUAUGUAUUGCCAUUCCAAAAUCGGCCAGUUUAACAACCCCAUCGUCGGCUAGCAACACAUUGCGUGCAGCUAAAUCGCCAUGGAGAACCUGAAGAUUGCUCAAGUACGAAAUCAAAUUUUCUCAUCAGACGUAUCGAACCAGAUAGCAAUUUCAACUCUUACUUGUUUGCUAACCAAAUAUUCCAUUCCUCGAGCUAUUUGAAAAGACCAGGAAAUUAAAUCGCAGGUUGAAAUAUAUCGGCCUAAAACGUAAUUAAGUGCUGGUGGCUGGUUCUGAUACAACGGUUGUGUUGGCGGUUGAUAUCGGUUUGCUGAAGCCACCGGUGGCUCCUCUGAACACGAUUGUUUAGAUGCAUAGUCUCACCAGGCCGUUCGGAUGCCGGACGUCUAUCUGACGGAAGCUCGUCGCAUGGAUUGUCUCUUUCGGUUUGGUGCUCGGAUACGUACGGUAUUUCCUUUGUGUCAGAAGCUGAUUUCAUGUUGCCGAAACCAUCUACCAGGUUGAUGAAACUGUUUCGGUGUUUCGACAAGUAAUUUUGCAAGUUACCAAACCGACAGUACUCAACUAUUAUGAAGAGUUCGCCUAUACGCUCCCAGUAAACUGACGACGUUUAGGUGUGAUCCUAAGUAAAUAAGUAUCUUCAUUUCGCUGACAAGAGCUUCCAUGGCAGCCAUGUUGGUGUGAGAUCGAAUCAUUUUAACAGCAACUGUUUUGAUAGUGUCCUCUGAGCCUUUAAUCCCCAUGGCUUCGGCUCGAACGACACGUCCAAAACACCCAGCGCCUAGCUGCGUUCCUGAGGGGGAUAUAAAAGCAACGACGUAUCAUGCAAGGGGAGCAGUUCAGUUUGCUCUUCGAUGGGCAGUUGGCGGUUGAUCUCUUUCACGUUUCCAGCCAGCAGUUUCUUGACUCCUGGGAACACUUGCUGCCUCUGUUACAAUCGAACCGUUUUCAAACAGGCCCAUUCCGGUGGAGAUGGGAACUUGAUCUCAGCGAAAAGUGUGCGACAGAUCAAGGUGACGUUGCUCCCUUCCGGCGGAUCGUCAGGAUCACCCAUUCUAACUCCUGUCCUGCUCCGCAAAAUUUUGCCCAACUGCCACUUGAUCCACUCACAUGGGUUUAACGUCCGCAACAUUUGUGUGUUCGAGAAAUAUAACGGACGGAAAUAUGUAUACGAGCUGUCACCGAGAAAUUUAACGAUCGAAAACACUUCCGGCAAUGUAGUUUAAUAAGGUCUGACGGUAUGCUAGGGUUAUCAUAUCAUGGAUGAUAUUUUAUCCCAUUUGCUACGAGGAAAUUAUUAUUAAAUUAUAGCAGCCUGUCGUGUCCGUUUUAUAAGCCAAGGAGAACGGAUUGGAGCCUGUUAGGAACAAAACACGCAGCCAGUGUUUGAUAAAACUUAUAGCUUACCCCACUGCAAUUUUUUUUUCCCAUCCAAUGGGUGGACGUGAGGAUUUAGUGGAUACUGCCUAAAUACUGGAGAGACCAGGUACAUGGAACAACGACUUGUAAAGUCCUUGGAAGACCUUUGUUGCCAACAUGAUUCAACUGUAAGAAAUUCUUUUAGGGAAAUCAUUUGGAUUGUUAAUGGAGGUGAUGGUUUGGACCCGCCUACAUGGAAGCCAAAGAUUGCCCUAUGAAUUUUCAAUGACCUCUCUACAACAUCAAAGCUGCCCCCCGUAUGUCGAUGAAGAUCUGUCAGAUCACAUUGAAUUACUACAAGCUUUUUAUGCAAUUAUGGAGACAAUCCCUUUAAAUUGCUUGGGGUGGAAUUCAAACAAAAACUUCGAUAAUAAAAGUGGAUUUGGAAAGGAUCCUUACGGGGGCAAGAUACCAAUUUUACACCUUAUUCGUACCUACAUUUCUACUUUUUUAUUUUAAAAGAAUUUUGCCGUAUUGGAGAUGCCAAAGCUAAAAUGUUCUUUUAACAUGGAUAAUUGGGUAUUCAUGUCAUGUCAUGUUUAGUUUUCAUGAAGAAAUCAGACUGGAAGCUUUUCAACUAUAAGACUAAAGAAGGAUUGCAGAGAUAAUUUUUUAAGAAAUUGACGUAAUAAAUCGAAAACGAAGUUUUAGAAUGAGGCUGGAGUUUCUGUCAAUGCUGACGUUUGGAAACACGAUCGGAAAUACCCGUGGAAUGGAAAACAUUCUCUCGUGUUAUGGUAUUUGUCGUACAUAAAUUGAAGUGCAUAUCUGGGCUCCCUUCUUUUCUGUGGCCCCGUUUCCCCUUGACUCAUAAUAAGCCCGUAGGGGGUCAUGCCCCUACUGUACGGUAUAUAUAAAAACAACAUAUAUCGAG
Molecule: long non-coding RNA, 4441 nt
Filed under: Daphnia magna
Lineage: Eukaryota; Metazoa; Arthropoda; Branchiopoda; Diplostraca; Daphniidae
Description: uncharacterized LOC116921195
Source: RNAcentral